Long non-coding RNA from Oreochromis aureus, 868 nucleotides. NCBI's taxonomy places the organism in Eukaryota, Metazoa, Chordata, Actinopteri, Cichliformes, Cichlidae. The record is from Ensembl.
GACUGUGGUGCGUUCGAUGACUGCAAAAUGAUCAGGAAUCUCAUACUUCAGAAAAUAACCUGGGUUACAUGCACAUGAAUGAUUUGUGUUUCCUCUGCAGGUAAAGGUGUGUAAAGUGUGUGUGAGCUGAUGUGGAUGUGAAUUCAUCAGCAUGGAUCAGUGUGGGGACAGAGAGGAGGGAGUCCUUCCCUCUAAAACCAGUCUGUGUGGGGAACAUGAGAGCCAGACCAAAGCUCAGAGGAACCAAACUGGACCUCCACCCAGAAGGGUGUCCUAUAAGAGUAAACGGGUGAAGGAUUUCUUUCGUAAUUUAGGGGAGGGAAGGUCAUCUGAGAGAAGGUAGGUGGUGAUGAGACAGGAGGGGAACACAGCUGGGAGUAAUCACACACACGAGACAGGUAGAAAGCAAAACUGAACACACUGAACACUAGACGAAGGACUAUCAAAAGGAAAAAAAACAGGAAAUAUGAGAAACAGACUAAGAUGCAAACUUGACACUGACAUGGAGACACGAUUGACUGGUGAGACAGAGGGAACACAGAAACAAAGAGGAACUAAACUAGAAGGCACAGGAAACAGAAUAGAGCUUCUCUGUCUCUGAUUUUCAUGUUUUUGUGUCUGAGCUGUUAAAGAGUCUGAGAGGUCACAAUGAGACCCAGGGGAACAUCUAAGCAGCUAAAACGAAUGAGCCCUCCAUCAGGAUAACAUUGAACAACAGUUUGUUGUCAUGGGAGCGCUGACAGGAUAAAGUACUGCACUCCAAAAAUACUGUGUACAGCUAAAUCAAAAUAUUUGUGUCUGAUUUAAUUGUUUUCUUUUUUAUGUACUUUCUUGAUAUGACUCAUUUCAAAUAUAUAUAAUAACAGCG